UUAUAGCUUGGUUAGAAGCCGUAUUUUUUCCUUUCAAUGAAGAGAAAAUAUAGCUAGUGUGCCACAUCCAAG
RNAcentral lists this small RNA (72 nucleotides) under Flavobacterium dankookense. Its description in RNAcentral is "Flavo-1 RNA". The record is from RNAcentral. Lineage: Bacteria; Pseudomonadati; Bacteroidota; Flavobacteriia; Flavobacteriales; Flavobacteriaceae.